RNAcentral lists this ribosomal RNA (329 nucleotides) under uncultured eukaryote. Its description in RNAcentral is "partial 18S ribosomal RNA". It matches the Rfam family "Eukaryotic small subunit ribosomal RNA", at positions 1470 to 1796 of the family's 1831-position model. The record is from RNAcentral.
CCCUUAGAUGUCCUGGGCCGCACGCGCGCUACACUGAGUGUCUGAGAUACGAGUCUGCCUGGUCCGGCAAGGUCUAGGUAAUCGCUAAAGGACACAUCAUGCUUGGGAUAGAUUAUUGCAAAUAUUAAUCUUGAACGAGGAAUUCCUAGUAAGCGCAAGUCAACAGCUUGCGUUGAUUACGUCCCUGCCCUUUGUACACACCGCCCGUCGCUACUACUGAUUGGAUGUUUAAGCGAGGUUCUCGAACUGCUAGCGACUUAGCUUCGGUGAGGUCGCAGUGCGGGAAGUGAACCUAGCUUUGGUGUCUAGAGGAAGUAAAAGUCGUAACA